CAUAUCAGUAAGCGGAGGAAAAGAAACUAACCAGGAUUCUCUUAGUAACGGCGAGUGAACAGAGAUUAGCCCAGCACCGAAGCCCAUCCACGUUUGUGGAUAGGGCAAUGUGGUGUUAAGACAUGUACCUAAGGCAAGUUGUCUACUUGAAGUCCAGCUCCGAUUAUGGCUUGGCAUUUGUUCCGAAGAGGGUGAAAGGCCCGUUCGAGUAGACAGUUUGUUGGUGUGUGCUUGUCCUUGAGUCGGAUUGCUUGAGAAUGCAGUCCAAAUCAGGUGGUAAACUCCAUCUAAGGCUAAAUACUGGCAUGAGUCCGAUAGUAAACAAGUACCGUGAGGGAAAGUUGAAAAGUACUCUGAAGAGAGAGUAAAUAGUACGUGAAACCGACUGAAUGGAAGCUGGUGGAGUCAAGCUCUUGCAAAAUGAAUUGAUGCGGAGAUGUCUGAUUGUAAACAGUAUUGUAUUUAAAUUGCUCGGUGGUUUGCCACCAUAAGCAGUUCGGUGUGACUGCUUAUUUCUGUUUAUACUUCAGUUCUCUUGUGUUAUUUCGUUAAGCAUAUGCCAUGGUCAGUGCUCUAAUGUUGAAUGAUAUUCUAAUCAUGAAUCAGAAUGCCAUGUGUAUUUCUAUUCAUGGGAUGGCAGGUAGUAGUUAAUGGGCAACCAUUUAACUGUGUAUAGUGGUUAAGGCUUGCUGAAUAUCGUUUCUUUAAUACAUUAUGUGCAUUGUCUAUAUAUCAUGCGAUCCCGUAACGGUGUCGUAUGUGAGAGCCAUGGCUAGUAGUAGAUUUUCCACCCGACCCGUCUUGAAACACGGACCAAGGAGUUUAACAUAUACGCGAGUCAAUGGGUUCUUCGAAACCCAAUGGCGUAAUGAAAGUGAACGAUCUCUUUUCGUGAUCUGAGGUGUUAUUUCAGCGUGCCUUUUAUAGGGCCGUUGGAUGCAGCACCGGCCCGUUUCGUAAUGUAGUAAUUCUGGCUUCGGCUGGUUUGCGGCAUUGUGGCGGAGCAAGAGCGUAUAUGUUGAGACCCGAAAGAUGGUGAACUAUGCUUGCGUAGGUUGAAGCCAGAGGAAACUCUGGUGGAGGACCGUCGCGGUUUUGACGUGCAAAUCGAUCGUCAAACGUGAGCAUAGGGGCGAAAGACUAAUCGAACCAUCUAGUAGCUGGUUCCCUCCGAAGUUUCCCUCAGGAUAGCUGGCAUUCGUUAAACACAGUUUUAUCCGGUAAAGCGAAUGAUUAGAGGUAUUGGGGACUACAUGUCCUCAACCUAUUCUCAAACUAUAAAUGGGUACGAUGCAUUACUCGCUUAGUUGGAGUUUUGCAUUGAAUGAGAAUGCCAAGUGGGCCAUUUUUGGUAAGCAGAACUGGCGCUGUGGGAUGCUCCGAACGUCAGGUUAAGGUGCCAAAUAUUGACGCUCAUGAGACACCACAAAAGGUGUUAAUGCAUAUAGACAGCAGGACGGUGGCCAUGAAAGUCGGAAUCCGCUAAGGAGUGUGUAACAACUCACCUGCCGAAUGCAUUAGCCCU
This 1525-nucleotide ribosomal RNA is filed under the name Cosmetocleithrum bulbocirrus. Its description in RNAcentral is "LSU rRNA". It matches the Rfam family "Eukaryotic large subunit ribosomal RNA", at positions 39 to 1313 of the family's 3401-position model. The record is from RNAcentral. Lineage: Eukaryota; Metazoa; Platyhelminthes; Monogenea; Dactylogyridea; Ancylodiscoididae.